AACGCACCUUGCGCUCCUUGGUAUUCCUUGGAGCAUGCCUGUUUGAGUGUCAUGAAUCUCUCUCAUCAAGUGGUUUUUUAGAAAACGGCUUCGACGAGGUCCAUGGGCCUGGACGUGUCCACACGUCCUUGCCUGAAAUGCAUGAGCUGAUUGCCAGCAGGGUUGUUAAGUUUUCACACCCUCGGAAGACGGCAGUUGCUUCGAGUUACUUGCGUUGUGUUUCGGCACGCGCAUUCCAUUGUAUCUCUGGCCUCAAAUCAGGUAGGACUACCCGCUGAACUUAA
RNAcentral lists this unclassified non-coding RNA (284 nucleotides) under uncultured fungus. RNAcentral's name for it is "partial contains 5.8S ribosomal RNA, internal transcribed spacer 2, and large subunit ribosomal RNA". Lineage: Eukaryota; Fungi. The record is from RNAcentral.